RNAcentral lists this ribosomal RNA (393 nucleotides) under Triticum aestivum (bread wheat). Its description in RNAcentral is "partial small subunit ribosomal RNA". Lineage: Eukaryota; Viridiplantae; Streptophyta; Magnoliopsida; Poales; Poaceae. The record is from RNAcentral.
AUGUGGGAAACAACCAAACCGCUUGCAACACGUGUUCCCGCGGGUCCACCCUUAUCUGUACCCUUUUCUCCUCCCAUCGUCCACCCUUCGUCUUCCACCUCCGUCUUCGUUGCUUUCCCUUCCCCCAUCUUUACAGUUUACACGGAGAGAGCUUCUCCAAUACUGCGGCUCCUGUCCAAGCUCCUCCCUAUCCUGGUAGCAGAGCCAUUGCCCACCUCUUCUCCCCGCUCCGUUGCAGCUGUGCUGCUAUGGCCAGAUGCUACAGGAGUUGGAGACGCUUGCAAUCUACAAAGCUACAACCAUCAACGUCAAAAGCUACAACCGGUGUUGCCGAAAGCUGCAACCAGUCAUAAAAAAAGUUUUGACCCGUUAGUAAAAAGCUUCGGCCGGUGA